Long non-coding RNA from Sciurus carolinensis (gray squirrel), 382 nucleotides. RefSeq lists it as uncharacterized. The transcript is spliced from 4 exons. The record is from RefSeq and is a predicted model, not a curated record. NCBI's taxonomy places the organism in Eukaryota, Metazoa, Chordata, Mammalia, Rodentia, Sciuridae.
AGGGUUCCUUGGCUGCAGUGUGGAGAAUGGAUUGUUGAAGAGCAGACACAGAAAGCGGGAGAUGAGAUGAGGAGAUUGCUGCGAUACAGUUGUCCCUCGGAUGCACGGGGCAUUGGUUCAGGAUCCCACAGAUCCCUUGGAUGUGGAGAGUCAACUGUGCCCCAGAUUACCCAGUCUCAGGUAUUUCGUUAGAGCAGUGGAAAAUGAACUAAGACAUUCUGCCACCCUCUGAUCACUACUUGCUGUUGCCACUGCUGCUGUACAGAGAUGUCUGGGGAAGCUCCUGUCCAGGGCCACCUACAAGCAGGAGCAGAGUCAGCAUUUAAACCCAAAGUCCAUUUGCUUCCAAAGUCUCUGGAGAAAAAGAAACCUGGGGACACCA